GAUGAACGCUGGCGGCGUGCCUAAUACAUGCAAGUCGAGCGAACAGACGAGGAGCUUGCUCCUCUGACGUUAGCGGCGGACGGGUGAGUAACACGUGGAUAACCUACCUAUAAGACUGGGAUAACUUCGGGAAACCGGAGCUAAUACCGGAUAAUAUAUUGAACCGCAUGGUUCAAUAGUGAAAGACGGUGUUGCUGUCACUUAUAGAGGGAUCCGCGCCGCAUUAUCUAGUUGGUAAGGUAACGGCUUACCAAGGCAACGAUGCGUAGCCGACCUGAGAGGGUGAUAGGCCACACUGGAACUGAGACACGGUCCAGACUCCUACGGGAGGCAGCAGUAGGGAAUCUUCCGCAAUGGGCGAAAGCUUGACGGAGCAACGCCGCGUGAGUGAUGAAGGUCUUCGGAUCGUAAAACUCUGUUAUUAGGGAAGAACAAAUGUGUAAGUAACUAUGCACGUCUUGACGGUACCUAAUCAGAAAGCCACGGCUAACUACGUG
This 497-nucleotide ribosomal RNA is filed under the name uncultured bacterium. Its description in RNAcentral is "partial 16S ribosomal RNA". It matches the Rfam family "Bacterial small subunit ribosomal RNA", at positions 28 to 507 of the family's 1533-position model. The record is from RNAcentral.